GUAGUUAGCCGGGGCUUCCUCCUUGGCUACCGUCACUUUCUUCGUUGCCAAGGACAGAGGUUUACAAUCCGAAAACCUUCUUCCCUCACGCGGCGUUGCUGGGUCAGGCUUGCGCCCAUUGCCCAAUAUUCCCCACUGCUGCCUCCCGUAGGAGUUUGGACCGUCUCUCAGUUCCAAUGUGGCCGAUCACCCUCUCAGGUCGGCUACCCAUCGCUGACUUGGUGGGCCGUUACCUCACCAACUAUCUAAUGGGACGCGAGCCCACCUCUCACCGGAUUCCUCCUUUGACCUCUGCCCCAUGCGGGACUGUGGUCUUAUGCGGUAUUAGCACACCUUUCGGUGCGUUAUCCCCCUGUGAGAGACAGGUUGCUCACGCGUUACUCACCCGUCCGCCACUCGGUUGGCUUCCGUUGCCUUCCGCCAACCUCGUUCGACUUGCAUGUGUUAAGCACGCCGCCAGCGUUCGUCCUGAGCCAGGAUCAAACUCUGA
Molecule: ribosomal RNA, 490 nt
Filed under: uncultured bacterium
Lineage: Bacteria
Description: partial 16S ribosomal RNA
Source: RNAcentral